UACAGAGGUCCCAAGCGUUGUUCGGAUUCACUGGGCGUAAAGGGUGCGUAGGUGGUUGGGUAAGUCUGAUGUGAAAUCCCGGAGCUCAACUCCGGAAUGGCAUCGGAUACUAUUCGGCUUGAGGGUUGGAGGGGGGACUGGAAUUCUCGGUGUAGCAGUGAAAUGCGUAGAUAUCGAGAGGAACACCAGUGGCGAAGGCGAGUCCCUGGACAACUCCUGACACUGAGGCACGAAAGCCAGGGGAG
RNAcentral lists this ribosomal RNA (245 nucleotides) under uncultured bacterium. RNAcentral's name for it is "partial 16S ribosomal RNA". It matches the Rfam family "Bacterial small subunit ribosomal RNA", at positions 524 to 768 of the family's 1533-position model. The record is from RNAcentral.